UGCCCUAUGCGUCCCCCGACGUAUAAGCGACUUUUCCUUCCUCCUUAUCAACACGAGCACUGCUAUUGUCAAAUCGCAGCACUUUGUUCCUCUGCCGUCUUCUUCCUUCCGCGUAUUGUCAAUUUCAGGGCAGAGAACCAGCAUCGCAAACUUAGGGUUUCUUGUAUUUUGAUAGAUAGUCUAUGCUCGAAUUGCAGGAGACGACAAUUGUUAGGGUUUCUGUCCUGAGCGAGAGACAAGGAGUUGUAUAAGGGGAAGGGGAAAAAUCGUAGAGCAUUAUUGGGAGGAUGGUGGGCGGUGGGAUCGAGGUAGUGGGGGCGGUUCUUGAGGUUGCAGACGUUGCCUGGACAGCUCUUGAACACCACAAACACAUCUAUGAAACCAAUCACUGCGCUAAUAGUGCACAACCCACUGAGGAUGAAAUUUUGAAGGAGAACCAAAGGCUGAGAUCUCUUCUUGAGGAGAACAUCAAACUUCUCCAAGAGCUUCGCCGAUCGCUCUCCCAUGAUGGUUCCAAGGAUGUUCCUCCUGAUCUCUUUCAACGCCUUGUAAAUACUGUGGAGUCCUCAAGCUUUCGGGAUCAAUUAAAUUCCAUUCAUCAGACCUUAAUGCAUACACACAAUGACUUUGCUCCCAAGAAAGUUGAAGGGGAAUAUUUAGUUAGCGUCGACCCUGAAAAACCAAGUUGGGUGUGGAUUAUGGAUGAAAGAAGUCCAAGUAGUAUGGAAGAGUUGAGUGGAAUUGACAAUGAAAGCUACGUGAUUGUGAGUGAGGAUGAUAUAGUGGAUGGAAUUGCCAAUUUUAUGGCCCAAUGCAUAAUCUUAAACCCAAGGUCUCAGCCUGGAAUUGCCAUGCAGAGGAUGACCCCAGAGGAGUUGCAGAAGAAUAACUCUUGGCAUGCCGAAGCCACUUUCUCACCAAUGAACCAAGGGUCGCAGGAGAAUGUUUUCUGUAGCUGGAGCAUUUGGAUGGAUGAACAGUGCUGAGAAGAUGUUGAAAAUAUGGCAUGCUGGCAAGAUAAUGUACACAUUGUCUACAUGGGGUCUUGCUAUGGCUGGGUUGUACAGGCAUCGUGCUGUUUUGAAAAUAGCAGCUCAGGGGAUCCAUGCAUCAAGCAAGGUCAUCCUAAAAGCUCUCUGAAAUGGGUACUAUUAGUCCAUUGCAGAAUGAAGAUUGAUGCUUGUCUUAUAAUUAUCAUUGAGCAAGGUCUUUGUUAAAGUUAUAUGAGGUGGGUGAUAACCGAUUGUCGUCCAUAAACAGAACUAUUGUUGGAAUGUCGUUGGUCCAUUCAAAUUUCGUUGUAUUAACCCAUUUGUGUUCUUCUAGUGUUUUCAGCUGUGUCCUACCAAAGGCCCCUGCUAUGUACAUAAAUAUUUUCUUGUAUCGACUCAUUUUUAUCCGAAAUAGCUUUUUAUUUACAUUUAGUCCUGUACUUUCUUAAGUGUUAAUAUUGUGAAAAAUCAAAACUGGCUUCUUUAUUAAUGACUAUAUAUUUUUGGCAUC
Amborella trichopoda is the source of this 1503-nucleotide RNA transcript. It is a transcript of the gene named elongation factor, with no coding region annotated. The record is from RefSeq and is a predicted model, not a curated record. NCBI's taxonomy places the organism in Eukaryota, Viridiplantae, Streptophyta, Magnoliopsida, Amborellales, Amborellaceae.